This 481-nucleotide ribosomal RNA is filed under the name uncultured bacterium. RNAcentral's name for it is "bacterial SSU rRNA". It matches the Rfam family "Bacterial small subunit ribosomal RNA", at positions 28 to 520 of the family's 1533-position model. The record is from RNAcentral.
GACGAACGCUGGCGGCGUGCUUAACACAUGCAAGUCACGGGGGCCCAGCAAUGGGUAACCGGCGAACGGGUGCGUAACACGUGAGCAACCUGCCGAUCUGAGGGGGAUAGCCGGCCCAACGGCCGGGUAAUACCGCAUACGGUUCUUGAGGGACAUCCCUUGGGAACGAAACCUCCGGGGCAGAUCGAGGGGCUCGCGGCCUAUCAGCUAGUUGGCGGGGUAACGGCCCACCAAGGCAACGACGGGUAGCUGGCUGAGAGGAUGGCCAGCCACAUUGGGACUGAGAGACGGCCCAGACUCCUACGGGAGGCAGCAGUGGGGAAUCUUGCGCAAUGGCCGAAAGGCUGACGCAGCGACGCCGCGUGUGGGAUGAAGCAUUUCGGUGUGUAAACCACUGUUGCCCGGGACGAACACCUUCUUUCGAGAAGGCUGACGGUACCGGGUGAGGAAGCACCGGCUAACUCCGUGCCAGCAGCCGCAG